UGUAAGCGUAUACCAAAGUUGUUGCAGUUAAAACGCUCGUAGUCGGACUUUGGCAGUUCCGGAUGUGUGCACGUCGUGUGCGCACUUCGCGGGGAUUGCUUUUGUGGUCUUGCGUAGGAUGAGGCACUUUUAUUAGUGAACGUCCUCACGCAACCACUUUUUACUGUGAGAAAAUCAGAGUGCUCAAAGCAGGCAUUUGCCGUGAAUGUAUUAGCAUGGAAUAAUAGAAUAGGACUUGGUUCUAUUUUGUUGGUUUGUUGGGACUGAGUAAUGAUUAAGAGGGACAGUUGGGGCAUUUGUAUUUCGGUGCUAGAGGUGAAAUUCUUAGAUUACCGAAAGACAAACUGCUGCGAAAGCGUCUGCCAAGGAUGUUUUCAUUGA
This 381-nucleotide ribosomal RNA is filed under the name uncultured eukaryote. Its description in RNAcentral is "partial 18S ribosomal RNA". It matches the Rfam family "Eukaryotic small subunit ribosomal RNA", at positions 592 to 976 of the family's 1831-position model. The record is from RNAcentral.